AAACUAGAAAUGGCGCGGCAGAGGCCGACGCGUAUCCCCACGCCGCAUGUUUGACCCAAGGGCGCCCCAGGGUUGAUCAUGGGGCCAUGCAUAGUUGAGAUUGACUGUAUUGUCAUAAGAGAAGUUCAGUAUCAAUUAGAAGUGAAUGGGUGUAAAAAUAAAGAAGUUAUAGUAAAAGGCAAUUUUGGGAGGGUGUGGCCUAUGUGGGCGGGGUGCCCCAGGGUUGGUAAUGGGGCCAUGCAUAGUUGAGAUUGACCGUAUUGUCAUAAGAGAGGUUCAGUAUCAAUUUGAAGUGAAUCAGUGUAGAAAUGAAGAAGUUAAUGUAAAAUAACCUAAUUUUUUUUUAUAGUAAAUGGAUUUUUUUGGUGGGUGUGGCCUAUGUGGGCGGGCGCCCCAGGGUUGGGAUUGGGGCCAUGCAUAGUUGAGAUUGACCCUAAUGUCAUAACAAAAGUUCAGUAUCAAUUUGAAGUGAAUCCGUGUAGAAAUGAAAAAAUUAUAGUAAAUGGAAAUUUUUGGUGGGUGUGGCCUAUGUGGGCGGGGCGCCCCAGGGUUGGGAAUGGGGCCAUGCAUGGUUGAGAUUGACCGUAUUGUCAUAGGUGAGGUCCAGUAUCAAUUUGAAGUGAAUCGGUGUAGAAAUAAAGAAGUAAAUGUAAAAUAACCUAAAAAAAUGAGUGAUAAUUUCUGACGCGGCCCCACCCCAACCCCUAUAACUUUUGACCCAGGGGUCAGAUCAAAAUUCCAAAUAGUGCACCGUCGCACAUAUGCUCAUAGCUACCAUGUGUGUAAAUUUCAAGGUUCUAGUGCUUUUAGUGUAGGAGGAGAUAGUGGCCAGGACGGACGGACGGACAGACGGACGGACAGACGGACGGACGGACGGCGGAGAUCACCACAAUAUCCC
Dreissena polymorpha is the source of this 898-nucleotide long non-coding RNA. RefSeq lists it as uncharacterized. Lineage: Eukaryota; Metazoa; Mollusca; Bivalvia; Myida; Dreissenidae. The transcript is spliced from 2 exons. The record is from RefSeq and is a predicted model, not a curated record.